AGAGUUUGAUCAUGGCUCAGAAUCAACGCUGGCGGCGUGCCUCAGACAUGCAAGUCGAACGCGAAAGCCCCCUUCGGGGGGCAAGUAGAGUGGCGCACGGGUGAGUAACACGUAGGUAAUCUACCUUUGGAUGGGGAAUAACAACCGGAAACGGUUGCUAAUACCGCAUAAUGCAGCGGCACCUAAUGGUGACAGUUGUUAAAGCGGGGGAUCGAAAGACCUCGCGUCUGAAGAGGAGCCUGCGGCGGAUUAGCUAGUUGGUAAGGUAACGGCUUACCAAGGCGAUGAUCCGUAGCCGGCCUGAGAGGGCGGUCGGCCACACUGACACUGACAUACGGGUCAGACUCCUACGGGAGGCAGCAGUCGGGAAUUUUGGGCAAUGGGCGAAAGCCUGACCCAGCAACGCCGCGUGAAGGAUGAAAUCCCUCGGGAUGUAAACUUCGCAAGAACGGGAAGAAUAAGUAAGGGUUAAUAUCUCUUACGAUGACGGUACCGUUUGUAAGCUCCGGCUAACUCCGUGCCAGCAGCCGCGGUAAUAC
This 539-nucleotide ribosomal RNA is filed under the name uncultured bacterium. Its description in RNAcentral is "bacterial SSU rRNA". It matches the Rfam family "Bacterial small subunit ribosomal RNA", at positions 8 to 526 of the family's 1533-position model. The record is from RNAcentral.